UAAGACGAACCGUGCAAACGUUAUUCGGAAUCAUUGGGCUUAAAGAGCGCGUAGGCGGCGUCGUAAGUUGGAGGUGAAAUCCCAUCGGCUCAACCGUGGAACUGCCCCCAAUACUGCGACGCUUGAGGGAGGUAGGGGCAUGCGGAACUUCCAGUGGAGCGGUGAAAUGUGUUGAGAUUGGAAGGAACGCCAGUGGCGAAAGCGGCAUGCUGGAUCUCUUCUGACGCUGAGGCGCGAAAGCUAGGGUAGCGAACGGGAUUAGAUACCCCGGUAGUCCUAGCCUUAAACGAUGGGUACUGGGUAGGAAGCGCUCCGAUGGUGCCUCCUGCCGCAGCGAAAGUGUUAAGUACCCCGCCUGGGGAGUAUGGUCGCAAGGCUG
Molecule: ribosomal RNA, 379 nt
Filed under: uncultured bacterium
Lineage: Bacteria
Description: bacterial SSU rRNA
Rfam family: Bacterial small subunit ribosomal RNA
Source: RNAcentral